UACGUAGGGUGCAAGCGUUGUCCGGAAUUAUUGGGCGUAAAGAGCUCGUAGGCGGCUUGUCGCGUCGGCUGUGAAAACUCGGGGCUCAACCCCGAGCCUGCAGUCGAUACGGGCAGGCUAGAGUCCGGCAGGGGAGACUGGAAUUCCUGGUGUAGCGGUGAAAUGCGCAGAUAUCAGGAGGAACACCUAUUGCGAAGGCAGCUCGCUGGGACGUAACUGACGCUGAGACGCGAAAGCGUGGGGAGCAAACAGG
RNAcentral lists this ribosomal RNA (253 nucleotides) under uncultured bacterium. RNAcentral's name for it is "partial 16S ribosomal RNA". It matches the Rfam family "Bacterial small subunit ribosomal RNA", at positions 524 to 776 of the family's 1533-position model. The record is from RNAcentral.